Molecule: long non-coding RNA, 959 nt
Filed under: Nicotiana tabacum (common tobacco)
Lineage: Eukaryota; Viridiplantae; Streptophyta; Magnoliopsida; Solanales; Solanaceae
Description: long non-coding RNA (NTAB_LNC003913)
Source: RNAcentral
UCCAUACGAUGAUAAAAUUUACCAUUUAACAUCCCUAUCUUAUCACAUCUCUAAUAAGCACACCCACAAAAACUAAAGGAAAAGGAAAAUAUUGCUUACAUAAAUAAAAUAAUGUAAAAAGAACAAAUUAAAGACGAAAAAACUAAAAGGGGCAAAUAAACAAUAUACAUCAAGUAAAAUUAAGUCGUCCAAAUAUAUGAAUUAUAAGAAAAAAUAGAUGCCUUCCAGCGACCAUAUUUAUCCUUUUGGGUGAAGAUACUCAAGUGAAGCAUAACAUUGUAUUACAAGACGUUUUUACAAGUACCUUCUUCCAUGUUUGCUCCUCCAUAGCAGCGAAACUUAAAUGCCAUAUGAUCACUACAAUUGUGGAUGAACAGUUGCUUAUCCAUAUCAUGGAUGCCUUCUCAUAUCACUAAAAAAUAGAAUCACCGGUCAAAACCAGAAAAUGUAAAUUUCAAUUUUUUGGAAUAGUUAUAAGAUGAUGAUUGGAAAUUUGUGGAAUGCACCUCUGUAACAGAACAAACUUAGAAAAUAGUAAGGAAAUUUAGUUUACCGUGUCCUCUUUCGAUUUGGCUGCCGCAAAAUGACUCACAUGCAUUCUAACAGAAAGCUUGAAGAACUAGGAAAGAAAAGAUAAAUUGGAAUGUAGUUGGGAACCCUUGGAAGCAAAUGGCAAAAGACAAAUACCUAAAUUAGAGCUCAUUUUCUUAUAGUACUAAAAGUUAGAAAUAGGGACCAUUAUGAGGAAUACGAAUGGAAUGAUCAGUUACAAUAAGGAGGAAUAUGAAAGGCUGGAAUAGUAACUGUUGAGACAUUUGUUACAACGUUUUUUACAAUAAGGAAUAGAAAAGAGAGGAGUAGCAAUGAUUGAGACAUUUAUUCUUAUAGCAAUAAGAUAAGAUAAAUAGAAAGUAAGAAAAAAGUCAAAAAAAAAAAAAAAAAGAUAGAUAAGAUCCUUG